RNAcentral lists this ribosomal RNA (763 nucleotides) under Deltochilum mexicanum. RNAcentral describes it as "SSU rRNA". It matches the Rfam family "Eukaryotic small subunit ribosomal RNA", at positions 473 to 1193 of the family's 1831-position model. Lineage: Eukaryota; Metazoa; Arthropoda; Insecta; Coleoptera; Scarabaeidae. The record is from RNAcentral.
GCGAAAUACGAUACGGGACUCAUCCGAGGCCCCGUAAUCGGAAUGAGUACACUCUAAAUCCUUUAACGAGGAUCAAUUGGAGGGCAAGUCUGGUGCCAGCAGCCGCGGUAAUUCCAGCUCCAAUAGCGUAUAUUAAAGUUGUUGCGGUUAAAAAGCUCGUAGUCGAACUUGUGUCCCGCGCCGCCGGUUCAUCGCUCGCGGUGUCAACUGGCGUGUCCGCGGGACGUCCUGCCGGUGGGCUUAGCUCCUCGCGGGGCGGCCCAAUCUCAAUCCCACCGCGGUGCUCUUCGCUGAGUGUCGAGGCGGGCCGGCACGUUUACUUUGAACAAAUUAGAGUGCUUAAAGCAGGCUAAAACCUCGCCUGAAUACUGUGUGCAUGGAAUAAUGGAAUAGGACCUCGGUUCUAUUUUGUUGGUUUUCGGAACCCCGAGGUAAUGAUUAAUAGGAACGGAUGGGGGCAUUCGUAUUGCGACGUUAGAGGUGAAAUUCUUGGAUCGUCGCAAGACGGACAGAAGCGAAAGCAUUUGCCAAAAACGUUUUCAUUGAUCAAGAACGAAAGUUAGAGGUUCGAAGGCGAUCAGAUACCGCCCUAGUUCUAACCAUAAACGAUGCCAGCUAGCGAUCCGCCGACGUUCCUCCGAUGACUCGGCGGGCAGCUUCCGGGAAACCAAAGCUUUUGGGUUCCGGGGGAAGUAUGGUUGCAAAGCUGAAACUUAAAGGAAUUGACGGAAGGGCACCACCAGGAGUGGAGCCUGCGGCUUAA